RNAcentral lists this ribosomal RNA (656 nucleotides) under uncultured organism. Its description in RNAcentral is "bacterial SSU rRNA". It matches the Rfam family "Bacterial small subunit ribosomal RNA", at positions 660 to 1331 of the family's 1533-position model. The record is from RNAcentral.
AGUGGAAUUCCGAGUGUAGAGGUGAAAUUCGUGGAUAUUCGGCGGAACUGCAGUGGCGAAGUCGGCUCACUGGUUCGAUACUGACGCUGAGGUGCGAAAGUGUGGGGAGCUAACAGGAUUAGAUAUCCUGGUAGUUCACACCGUAAACGAUGAAUGCCAGACGUCGGAAAGCUUGCUUUUCGGUGUCACACGUAACGGAUUAUGCAUUUCGAGUGGGGAGUACAGUCGCAAGAUUAAAACUCAUAGGAAUUGACGGGGGCCCGCUCAAGCGGUUGAGCAUGUAGUUUAAUUCGAAGCAACGCGCAGAACCUUACCAACCCUUGACAUAGUGAUCGUGGUUUCUCGAGAGAGAUUCCUUCAAUUCGGCUGGAUCUGUGACAGGUGUUGCAUGAGAGGCGUCAGCUCGUGUCGUGAGAUGUUCGGUUAAUGUCGGGCAACGAGCGCUAUCCACAUCACUUAGUUGCCAGCAGUUCGGCUGGGCACUCUAGGGAAACUGCGCGAUGAUAAACGGGAGGAAGGUGUCGAUGACGUCAGGGCGAUCAUGGCCCUUACGGGAGGGGCUAUCACACGUGCUGCAAUAGCAGUGACAAUGGGGUCUCCCAAAAAACUGUCUCAGUUCUGAUUGUGGUCCACAACUCGACCCCAUGAAGUCGGAA